Molecule: ribosomal RNA, 593 nt
Filed under: Ilyonectria destructans
Lineage: Eukaryota; Fungi; Ascomycota; Sordariomycetes; Hypocreales; Nectriaceae
Description: eukaryotic LSU rRNA
Rfam family: Eukaryotic large subunit ribosomal RNA
Source: RNAcentral
UAAGCAUAUCAAUAAGCGGAGGAAAAGAAACCAACAGGGAUUGCCCUAGUAACGGCGAGUGAAGCGGCAACAGCUCAAAUUUGAAAUCUGGCCCUCGGGUCCGAAUUGUAAUUUGUAGAGGAUGCUUUUGGUGAGGUACCUUCCGAGUUCCCUGGAACGGGACGCCAUAGAGGGUGAGAGCCCCGUCUGGUUGGAUACCGAUCCUCUGUAAAGCUCCUUCGACGAGUCGAGUAGUUUGGGAAUGCUGCUCUAAAUGGGAGGUAUAUGUCUUCUAAAGCUAAAUAUUGGCCAGAGACCGAUAGCGCACAAGUAGAGUGAUCGAAAGAUGAAAAGCACUUUGAAAAGAGAGUUAAAAAGUACGUGAAAUUGUUGAAAGGGAAGCGCUCAUGACCAGACUUGGGCUUGGUUGAUCAUCCAGGGUUCUCCCUGGUGCACUCUUCCAGCCCAGGCCAGCAUCAGUUCGCUGUGGGGGAUAAAGGCUUUGGGAAUGUGGCUCCUCCGGGAGUGUUAUAGCCCAUUGUGUAAUACCCUGUGGUGGACUGAGGUUCGCGCAUCUGCAAGGAUGCUGGCGUAAUGGUCAUCAGCGACCCGUC